ACUUAAUAAAAUUACUAAUUUUACUACUUCACUUGCACAAGGACUUUUUUUUUUUCUUCAGGAAGAUGAGCCCUGAGCCAACAUCUGUGCCCAUCUUCCUCUAUUUUGUAUGUGGGACACCUGCCAUAGUGUGGCUUGAUAAGUAGUGUGUAGGUCCGAAGCUGGGAUCCAAAUCAGUGAACCCUAGACCACCAAAGUAGAGCCUGCAAACUUAACCGCUAUGCCUCCAGGCCGGCUCCAGCAAGGACAUGCUGAAAGUGAAACUAGCUGUUUUUUUAAAAAAUGGAAGCUCCUGACAGUGACAAAUAUAAUGACUCCUGGUACAGUUUGAUGUCACUGCUUUGAGUUGUAUUAAGGCACCAACAAUUUUCCCUAUGAUUGCUUUUGCACCAUCCGUGCAAAUCUCAACACAGUAAAAGACUUAAAUAAUGUCUUAGUAUUAGUAAAAUAAUUUGACCUCACCCAUCCCUGAGAAGGUCUUGGAGACUCCCAGAGGUCUGUGGACCCUGCUUAGAGAACCACUGCACCAGGUUAUUCUGCCUCAUUCUGUUCUCAGUGGUGGUCCGACCGUGUCUUACAUAUUUCACUAUUAGGACACUGAGGCCCAGCGGAGCCCGACCAUUGGUCCUUGUCUCUCAUUCUGGCACUGAAGUGAGAAUUUUCUUCCUGGUGGGGAAUGGGGAGGCUUCUCAGGGGAGGUGACAUUGAUCUUAUGGACAAGCAGCAGACCAAAAGGCAGGGGUGGGGGCCUGGGAGUGCAUUCUUAGUGGAGGGAACAGCAUUGGCAAAGGCCCAGGGUACUAAGGGCCUCAAAUGCCAGCCGCAGGGCAGUGGUCACCACAGAGCAGUGUUGACCGGGGAAGCGAUGGAUGAGAUGUGCCCAGAGACAGGGACGAUCAGAGAAGAGGUCCCUAGUCCUUUACCAGGGGCCUUCCCGUCGUCUGGCCUCAGGGCUGUGUCCUUAGGGUGGGGUUGACAUGUGGUUACCCAGAUGGACUCACCCUUCAUGACCGUGACUGGCAGAGUAUGGUCUGCUGCCCAGAAUUCCCUGCUGAAAAGUUUCUCCACAGACGUUUACACUGACCAUAGCUGUUUUUUUCCUUUGUAUUGGCUUUUUUGGUGACAGUGGCUAGCCUCACCGAGUUCCUUGUGCCAUGCAUGAAUGUGAGGGUGACCUGGGCAAGAGAUGGCAGCUGACGGGAUUGGUGGUGAUGGCAGGUCAGUAUGUGAUGGGUGCCUAGGUCUGAGUCCUGUGAAAGUGGGGACUGUAGAGGUGACUCUGAGCAGGGACGGCUUCCCAUUCCCACCUCAGGCCUGGCUGCCCUUCUCCUCCAAUGGGCCCUCUGUCCCUGCCCCAACUUGUCCCCUUGAGCUGCUAGAGCUCAGCUCCUGACCAGAUCUGAUAUGGGGAGACAGACAGUUUCUGUGCAAGACAGGCCUCUACAUCCUGCUGUGUACGUCUGUCCUCCUGGGCUGGGUCCCUGGGCCUGUGUGGGUGUGCCACACACAUGUUCAUGGCUGUGCUGUGGGACUGUGUGGUACGUCCUGAGACAUGUAUGUUUGUGACUGACACAUGGUGCGCUCUACCCCCAAAUGCUUGUGAGCUGUAUAUCAUGCCGUGCAUGUUGAGUCAUGUGUGGUCUGUAUUCCUGCCUUUAAUUGGGUGGUGUGUAUUGUGUCUAUAGUUUUUGCAUGUCUUUUGGAGGGUGUGAGUGUCACUGUGGGGGGUACGUGUUUUUGUGUGAUGGUUUGUCAUUGUUGAUCUUGGCCCAGCCCCAGAAGAAGGCCUGCUGAGGCGUUGGGGGUGAGGACUGUGCCUAGACGGGAAGCCCACAGCUGGGAGGUCAGACUGGGAACAGACAUGUCCUCACCCGCCCAGAGAGUGUCACAAGCCCUCAAAGAGCCCCUGUCCAGCUUCACCACCCCUGGCCAGUCAGGGUAGGUGACUAGAAAGGGGGCAUGAGGGAAUCAAAACAACCUUGGCCCACCUCCCACCCCUUGCUGGCACUUGAGCCUAGUGCUGGUGCCCUGGUGCCCUGGGCCGGUCCUCCUAAGGCUCCAAGCACCUGGUAUUGUGGGGGUUGGACAGGGGACAGAGACAUGGCUCGGUUUGGCUCUUGUGACCAAAUUCAGCUUGUAGUGGACCAUGGAGGCAGAGCAGCCCAAGGUCUUACUGGGGCUGGGGCUGCACGGGGUACCAGCCCCACUGAGACAGGCCUGAGGCUAAGUUCAUUACGUGUGUCAUACAGCCAGCAAAUAUUUACUGAGCUUGUGCUCUGUUCCAGGCCCACUUUAGGUGCUGGGAAUAUGGCAGUCACCUCACUGAAUUAGGAGGGAGGCCAGGGGGACUGCUGCUGUGCAUUUUACAGAUGAAGAAACAGAUCCUGAGAGGUUAAGUAAUUUGCCCAAAGUCACAGCAAAGCUGAGAUUUGAAACCAGGCCUGUCUCAUGCCAGAGCCCCCUCCUCCUGCCCUUGAUGCUUACAAUUAACAGCCUACAUGCAUUGAGCUAGGACCAGCUGGGACCGGCAAGGGGCUGGGCAGGCAAUGCUUGGCUAGCCUUGUGCCGUGGGCUAUUGGCUGAUGCAGGAGGGUGGGUACAGUAACUUGUGGCCUCCUAAUUGCUCUGCAGGGAAGGUGGGUUGCCUGGGGUGGUCCCCUGGGCCCCUGGGCUGUGCAUAGAGAUGGUCAGGUAGAGAUUCAGGUGUGGGGGUAGGGGAGUGGAGGGCGAGCCUUGUGUCUUCAGGUUGCACUGGGACCCAAAGGAAUGCCUUCUCUCUGGCUGUGUGACCUGGGAUGGGCCCCUGCUUCCCUCUUAGGCUCAGCUUUCUCAUCUGUAAGUUGGGCACAAGAAUUGCCCCCUCCCAGUGGUACAAGGAUCACGGCACGGUGCCUGGUGCACAGUAGGGCAGCUGGGGGGAUGGGGCAGAGCUGGAAGUUGGCAGGGCCUCCCCAGGGCUCUCUGCUCAGCCCCAGGAAAUGGGUAGGGGGUAGGGAGGAGGAGGAGCAGAUGUGCCCGCGUCUCACAAGAGCAGCCGCAUUUAGCCACCGAGUUGGGAUUGAAAUAUUCCUGAGGGAGAAGAACCCUGAGGCUUCAGGGCGGCAACAGCUCGUCAGUGGGGAGCGGGGAAGGGAUGUUGUCACCAUCUGCCUCGUGUCUGUCUGCGACUAAAAUAAUACUGGGGUGAGACUCGCCGCAGGCACGGGCCCAGCCGCAAGGUUCCCCGGAAGAGGGAGGGGCCAAGGGGUGCUGGAAGGCUUGCGGUGGGAUCAGCCUCAUGAGUUCAGGGCCAGGGGACCCCCAAGAUUCUGGGGUCUGCUCCAGAGGGGAGACCAAGCAUGUGCUGAGGUCCCAGUAAAGCAGAGGCAACAACAGAGACAAAAAGAGAGGGACAGACAAAUUGCCUGAUUCAGCUUCCAUGAGCUGAUCCAGAAUAUGAAACCAGAAAACGUAGCAAGAAGCUAUUUUGAUUUCAGCCGACGUAUAAGUUUUGGGUGUAUGGUUUACUGUGGUUUUUAUUUUGAAUUAAAUAUGGAGGCUGCUCCAUAAUCUCCUCAGAGCUCAGGGCUGUGGGGACAGAGUGCCUGCCGUUCCCGCUGGACAUGGUAGGCACUCGCUAGCUGGCUCUGAGUGUUGGUACCCCUGGGCCCAGGCUGGCGCCCCUUCAGAUUGGGACCUGGCUGGAAGCCUGACGCUUGGCCUCUGGGUGGUGAAGCAGUCAUGUCUGGUCUUCUGCUGUGGGUCUCACCAGACGCGAGCAGUUGGGUAUUUUUGUUUUUGCAAAGAGAACAGACCAUGACCUCAGCGGUUUAUUUGAACUGCAGAAGCACCCUAACUGCUGGUUGCUGUGUGCUGACAAGAUGCAGGAGUAUCAGUUCACAGACAACACUAGAACACCUACUCUGUGCAGGCCCUGAGCUGGGGCAGGAUGGGCCCACUCUGAGCAUGCAGGGUCAGCCACCUGCGUGCCGGGGAGGGUGUUGGGGAAGUCAGUGAGGGGUGCUGGAUAGGGCAGGAGACCACAGCCGUCAUCCUGGAGGAGGUCGCAGAUAUGCUUAGCCUUGAAGAGGAGACGCAUGGUGACAGCAAAGGAGAGUGAGGAGGAUGCCCCAGUCAGAGGGAACCACAUGUACACAGGCCACCACUUUAUGGCUAGACCUCAUGCUAUCUGCUUUAUGUGUUUUCCCAGUCAAUCCUUACCAACACCCCAGGAGGUCAGUACACUUAGUGCCCAUCUUACAGAUGAGUAAACUGAGGCUCAGGGAACUCUAAUAACUUGUGUAAGUAGUAGAGGCCUGGCCUUGGGUUACUGUGGGCCACCCCUGCACGAUGUCCUCAGUCAGCAGGCAACAACUGAGCACCUACUAUGUGUUGGCCCUGAGCCAGGGUGCUUCCUGGAUUUGGACCCUCUAGUACCUUCCAGAGUGUCCUCAGAUGGCUGGGGUCUCUCAUCUCCAUCCAGGGACAAUGACCAAAGGAACCUCUCUCCAGGGUGUGAGUGUGUAUAUGGGGGAGUGGGAUGCAGGUGGGAGCCUGGAGAUCCCUAUUCUACAACCUUGAGCAAAUCUCUCCCUCCACUGAGCCUCAGUUUCCUCAUCUGUAGAAGGGGCCUACAGCACCUGCCAUGCAGGCUCCUGGUGAGGAGUGAAAGUGAAGGCUUGUGUGAGAAGUCUUCUGUGAGUUCAAUUCUUCUCAAAACACCGGGAGCCAUCUUCCCAGAAUAAUCCAGCCACCAAGCUUUCCGUGCAGCUGACAGCCCCCCUUCCCCACGCCACCACAGCAGCCACCACCCUGAAUUAUUCAGGACCCUCCAGGCCUCUCUGGCAGCCCGUCCCCUCCCCCUGCACACCAGGCUGUCAGCACCAGCCGCUGAGCCUCUGCCACGGCUCUGCCGACCCUCAGGGCUCCAGGACUUCAGCCUGUUCAGGCCUCGCUGGGCACUGCCUGACGUCCCAUCCCCGUAGACUGCUCUGGGACCAUGCUGCUGGACGUGUUGUUUGCCUGGCUUUGGCUGGCAGAACCUCAGAGCCCCGUGGGAGGAGAGCUGCAAGUAGGGGAGGUGAGGCAGGGUGAGGAACUUGAUAGUUGUGGGGGACAGAUAGAACUGGGUAUGGAGAUAGGGCUGCUGUGCCUCAUGUCUGGGUCCAAGUCCCAGCUCCUUCACUCACUGGAGUGAACUGGGCAAGUCACUUCUAUCUCUGAGCCUCCAUUUCCUCCUCAGAACAAGGGGGUUUAUGGCGAUUAUGAUGGUCAUGAGACCUUGGGGUACAGUGCCUACACACUAAGCACUCCCCACAAGAUGUCCUAUGAGCUUGCCUUUUUCUUCUGGCUUUGGGAAGAUGGCCAGUUGGAGGCCUGGACACUGGCCUGCCAGAGUCUGGGCAGGUGGCUCCUUGUCCCCUUUCCCUAGCCCAGAAGGCCUGACUUCUCCCUACUGUACUCUUCCCCUCAGAGGGAUACGUGCGCACAUACAUGUAGAGGGCUCAUAGGAACAUAAGUCAGCAGGUCAUCCUGUCCAUCCCCCUGCAUUCUGGGAGGGUCAGCCCCAAGUCCCCAGCCCAGUGAGUGUGUUCCAUUCCUCUGUUCCUUCCCAUGGUCAGAAGCAGGAAUGGAGCAAGUCCUGCCCGUCCCAUCUCUGCCCUCACUUUUCCCCUCUGGAGCCACACAGGUGGGGUGUACUGGGUGGGAGGACUGAGUGUCCCUGCUACCGGGUCCUCAGAGCUGGCUAGCUCCCCCAGCACCCCACACCCGCUCGCCUGCAGAGCUGUGGCCCGGGCAGCUGUCCGGCUGAGCGGGUUAGCAACACAAGACAGAUGGCAAGGGAUUAUCUCAGCUUCUCAGAGUGC
This 5846-nucleotide long non-coding RNA is filed under the name Equus caballus (horse). RNAcentral's name for it is "lncRNA (ENSECAG00000045314.1)". Lineage: Eukaryota; Metazoa; Chordata; Mammalia; Perissodactyla; Equidae. The record is from RNAcentral.